GAUGAACGCUGGCGGCGUGCCUAAUACAUGCAAGUCGAGCGAACAGACGAGGAGCUUGCUCCUCUGACGUUAGCGGCGGACGGGUGAGUAACACGUGGAUAACCUACCUAUAAGACUGGGAUAACUUCGGGAAACCGGAGCUAAUACCGGAUAACAUGUUGAACCACAUGGUUCAACAGUGAAAGACGGUCUUGCUGUCACUUAUAGAUGGAUCCGCGCCGCAUUAGCUAGUUGGUAAGGUAACGGCUUACCAAGGCAACGAUGCGUAGCCGACCUGAGAGGGUGAUCGGCCACACUGGAACUGAGACACGGUCCAGACUCCUACGGGAGGCAGCAGUAGGGAAUCUUCCGCAAUGGGCGAAAGCCUGACGGAGCAACGCCGCGUGAGUGAAGAAGGUCUUCGGAUCGUAAAACUCUGUUAUUAGGGAAGAACAAAUGUGUAAGUAACUAUGCACGUCUUGACGGUACCUAAUCAGAAAGCCACGGCUAACUACGU
Molecule: ribosomal RNA, 496 nt
Filed under: uncultured bacterium
Lineage: Bacteria
Description: partial 16S ribosomal RNA
Rfam family: Bacterial small subunit ribosomal RNA
Source: RNAcentral